RNAcentral lists this ribosomal RNA (440 nucleotides) under uncultured Anaerolineae bacterium. Its description in RNAcentral is "partial 16S ribosomal RNA". It matches the Rfam family "Bacterial small subunit ribosomal RNA", at positions 338 to 794 of the family's 1533-position model. The record is from RNAcentral. Lineage: Bacteria; Bacillati; Chloroflexota; Anaerolineae.
CCUACGGGAGGCAGCAGUGAGGAAUAUUGCGCAAUGGGCGAAAGCCAGACGCAGCAACGCCGCGUGGGCGACGAAGGUCUUCGGAUCGUAAAGCCCUUUUCUAGAGGAAGAGGAAGGACAGUACUCUAGGAAUAAGUCUCGGCUAACUACGUGCCAGCAGCCGCGGUAAAACGUAGGAGGCCAGCGUUAUCCGGAUUUAUUGGGCGUAAAGCGCGUGUAGGCGGUGUUUUAAGUUGGACGUGAAAUCUCCUGGCCUAACUGGGAGGCGCCGUUCAAUACUGAAGCACUUGAGGGCAGAAGAGGGAAGUGGAAUUCCCGGUGUAGCGGUGGAAUGCGUAGAUAUCGGGAGGAACACCUGUGGCGAAAGCGGCUUCCGGGCCUGCUCCUGACGCUGAGACGCGAAAGCUAGGGGAGCGAACGGGAUUAGAUCCCCCGGUAGU